This 497-nucleotide ribosomal RNA is filed under the name uncultured bacterium. RNAcentral describes it as "partial 16S ribosomal RNA". It matches the Rfam family "Bacterial small subunit ribosomal RNA", at positions 28 to 507 of the family's 1533-position model. The record is from RNAcentral.
GAUGAACGCUGGCGGCGUGCCUAAUACAUGCAAGUCGAGCGAACAGACGAGGAGCUUGCUCCUCUGACGUUAGCGGCGGACGGGUGAGUAACACGUGGAUAACCUACCUAUAAGACUGGGAUAACUGCGGGAAACCGGAGCUAAGACCGGAUAAUAUAUUGAACCGCAUGGUUCAAUAGUGAAAGACGGUUUUGCUGUCACUUAUAGAUGGAUCCGCGCCGCAUUAGCUAGUUGGUAAGGUAACGGCUUACCAAGGCAACGAUGCGUAGCCGACCUGAGAGGGUGAUCGGCCACACUGGAACUGAGACACGGUCCCGACUCCUACGGGAGGCAGCAGUAGGGAAUCUUCCGCAAUGGGCGAAAGCCUGACGGAGCAACGCCGCGUGAGUGAUGAAGGUCUUCGGAUCGUAAAACUCUGUUAUUAGGGAAGAACAAAUGUGUAAGUAACUAUGCACGUCUUGACGGUACCUAAUCAGAAAGCCACGGCUAACUACGUG